RNAcentral lists this ribosomal RNA (466 nucleotides) under Vreelandella stevensii. RNAcentral's name for it is "partial 16S ribosomal RNA". It matches the Rfam family "Bacterial small subunit ribosomal RNA", at positions 338 to 795 of the family's 1533-position model. Lineage: Bacteria; Pseudomonadati; Pseudomonadota; Gammaproteobacteria; Oceanospirillales; Halomonadaceae. The record is from RNAcentral.
CCUACGGGGGGCUGCAGUGGGGAAUAUUGGACAAUGGGGGGAACCCUGAUCCAGCCAUGCCGCGUGUGUGAAGAAGGCCCUCGGGUUGUAAAGCACUUUCAGUGAGGAAGAACGCCUGGUGGUUAAUACCCAUCAGGAAAGACAUCACUCACAGAAGAAGCACCGGCUAACUCCGUGCCAGCAGCCGCAGGUAAUACGGAGGGUGCGAGCGUUAAUCGGAAUUACUGGGCGUAAAGCGCGCGUAGGUGGCUUGAUAAGCCGGUUGUGAAAGCCCCGGGCUCAACCUGGGAACGGCAUCCGGAACUGUCAAGCUAGAGUGCAGGAGAGGAAGGUAGAAUUCCCGGUGUAGCGGUGAAAUGCGUAGAGAUCGGGAGGAAUACCAGUGGCGAAGGCGGCCUUCUGGACUGACACUGACACUGAGGUGCGAAAGCGUGGGUAGCAAACAGGAUUAGAUACCCGGGUAGUC